Molecule: ribosomal RNA, 319 nt
Filed under: uncultured bacterium
Lineage: Bacteria
Description: bacterial SSU rRNA
Rfam family: Bacterial small subunit ribosomal RNA
Source: RNAcentral
AGGGUUUGAUUAUGGCUCAGGACGAACGCUGGCGGCGUGCCUAACACAUGCAAGUCGAACGGGAUUAUUGAGGAAGCUUGCUUUUGAGAUAAUCAAGUGGCGGACGGGUGAGUAACGCGUGAGGACCUGUCUCCGGCAGGGGGACAACAUUUGGAAACGGAUGCUAAUACCGCAUAAGCCGAGAGGUGAAAGGAGCAAUCCGGCAGGAGAGGGACUCGCGUUCUAUCAGCUAGUAGGCGGGGUAAAGGCCCACCUAGGCGAAGACGGAUAGCCGGACUGAGAGGUCGACCGGCCACACUGGAACUGAGACACGGUCCAG